AUCCAUUCUCAAAUACAUAUAACCAAGAUUGAAGGAACCACCCUAACUUUUCUUGGAGACCCCAAUAGACUUAAGCUCAGACCCAAAUUUUUUUUGUGCAAAAUUUUUAAAGUAGACCCCAAUACCAAAACUAUGCCUAUAAUAGUGGUCAGCCUAGUCAGCCUACUCAACCAUCCUAUUACAAUCAGCCAUCAUACCCACCUCCUCAAC
RNAcentral lists this long non-coding RNA (210 nucleotides) under Elaeis guineensis (African oil palm). RNAcentral describes it as "long non-coding RNA (EGUI_LNC047967)". The record is from RNAcentral. Lineage: Eukaryota; Viridiplantae; Streptophyta; Magnoliopsida; Arecales; Arecaceae.